GACGAACGCGUGGCGGCGUGCUUAACACAUGCAAGUCGAGCGGUAAGGCUCCUUCGGGAGUACACGAGCGGCGAACGGGUGAGUAACACGUGAGUAACCUGCCCCAAUCAUCGGGAUAACCAUUGGAAACGAUGGCUAAUACCGAAUACGACCACCGAAGGCAUCGUUCUGGUGGUGGAAAGCUCCGGCGGAUUGGGAUGGACUCGCGGCCUAUCAGCUUGUUGGUGAGGUAAUGGCUCACCAAGGCAACGACGGGUAGCCGGCCUGAGAGGGUGACCGGCCACACUGGGACUGAGACACGGCCCAGACUCCUACGGGAGGCAGCAGUGGGGAAUAUUGGACAAUGGGCGCAAGCCUGAUCCAGCAACGCCGCGUGAGGGAUGACGGCCUUCGGGUUGUAAACCUCUUUCAGUAGGGACGAAGCGAAAGUGACGGUACCUACAGAAGAAGGACCGGCCAACUACGUG
Molecule: ribosomal RNA, 467 nt
Filed under: uncultured bacterium
Lineage: Bacteria
Description: bacterial SSU rRNA
Rfam family: Bacterial small subunit ribosomal RNA
Source: RNAcentral